AGACAGCAGCAGCCGCGGGAAUACAGAGGGUGCGAGCGUUAAUCGGAUUUACUGGGCGUAAAGCGUGCAUAGGCGGCUUCUUAAGUCGGAUGUGAAAUCCCUGAGCUUAACUUAGGAAUUGCAUUCGAUACUGGGAAGCUAGAGUAUGGGAGAGGAUGGUAGAAUUCCAGGUGUAGCGGUGAAAUGCGUAGAGAUCUGGAGGAAUACCGAUGGCGAAGGCAGCCAUCUGGCCUAAUACUGACGCUGAGGUACGAAAGCAUGGGGAGCAAACAGGAUUAGAUACCCGAGUAGUCCCUGUCUCUUAUAC
RNAcentral lists this ribosomal RNA (307 nucleotides) under uncultured bacterium. Its description in RNAcentral is "partial 16S ribosomal RNA". It matches the Rfam family "Bacterial small subunit ribosomal RNA", at positions 506 to 807 of the family's 1533-position model. The record is from RNAcentral.